CCUACGGGAGGCAGCAGUGGGGAAUCUUGCGCAAUGGGCGAAAGCCUGACGCAGCCAUGCCGCGUGAAUGAUGAAGGUCUUAGGAUUGUAAAAUUCUUUCACCGGGGACGAUAAUGACGGUACCCGGAGAAGAAGCCCCGGCUAACUUCGUGCCAGCAGCCGCGGUAAUACGAAGGGGGCUAGCGUUGCUCGGAAUUACUGGGCGUAAAGGGAGCGUAGGCGGAUAGUUUAGUCAGAGGUGAAAGCCCAGGGCUCAACCUUGGAAUUGCCUUUGAUACUGGCUAUCUUGAGUAUGGGAGAGGUAUGCGGAACUCCGAGUGUAGAGGUGAAAUUCGUAGAUAUUCGGAAGAACACCAGUGGCGAAGGCGGCAUACUGGCCCAUUACUGACGCUGAGGCUCGAAAGCGUGGGGAGCAAACAGGAUUAGAUACCCUGGUAGUCCACGCUGUAAACGAUGAGUGCUAGUUGUCGGCAUGCAUGCAUGUCGGUGACGCGAGCUACGACAUUAAGACGACUCCGCCGUCGGGGAGGUACGGUCGGCGAAGAAGUUAAACUUAACAAAUAAGUUAAGUUAGUACGGCGUUGAGACGUUAGCCGACGGACGACCGACCGACGGGGAAGGUUAAGGGAGG
RNAcentral lists this ribosomal RNA (631 nucleotides) under uncultured bacterium. Its description in RNAcentral is "bacterial SSU rRNA". The stretch from base 1 to 520 matches the Rfam family "Bacterial small subunit ribosomal RNA", at positions 338 to 873 of the family's 1533-position model. The record is from RNAcentral.